AGAGUUUGAUCCUGGCUCAGAUUGAACGCUGGCGGCAUGCUUUACACAUGCAAGUCGAACGGCAGCACAGGGAGCUUGCUCCCGGGUGGCGAGUGGCGCACGGGUGAGUAAUACAUCGGAACGUGUCCUAUUGUGGGGGAUAACUGCUCGAAAGGGUGGCUAAUACCGCAUGAGACCUGAGGGUGAAAGCGGGGGAUCGCAAGACCUCGCGCAAUUGGAGCGGCCGAUGCCCGAUUAGCUAGUUGGUGAGGGUAAAGGCUCACCAAGGCGACGAUCGGUAGCUGGUCUGGAGAGGACGACCAGGCCACACUGGGACUGAGACACGGGCCCAGACUCCUACGGAGGCA
This 347-nucleotide ribosomal RNA is filed under the name uncultured bacterium. RNAcentral describes it as "bacterial SSU rRNA". It matches the Rfam family "Bacterial small subunit ribosomal RNA", at positions 8 to 350 of the family's 1533-position model. The record is from RNAcentral.